Molecule: ribosomal RNA, 495 nt
Filed under: uncultured bacterium
Lineage: Bacteria
Description: bacterial SSU rRNA
Rfam family: Bacterial small subunit ribosomal RNA
Source: RNAcentral
AAAUGAAUAGACGGGGGCCCGCACAAGCGGUGGAGCAUGUGGUUUAAUUCGAAGCAACGCGAAGAACCUUACCAGGGCUUGACAUCUACCUGACAGCUUAUGGAAACAUGAGCAUUCCUUCGGGACAGGUAGACAGGUGGUGCAUGGUUGUCGUCAGCUCGUGUCGUGAGAUGUUGGGUUAAGUCCCGCAACGAGCGCAACCCUUGUCCUUAGUUGCCAGCACUUAAGGUGGGCACUCUAAGGAGACUGCCGGUGACAAACCGGAGGAAGGUGGGGACGACGUCAAAUCAUCAUGCCCCUUAUGUUCUGGGCUACACACGUGCUACAAUGGCCUGUACAACGGGUAGCGAGCUUGUAAAAGUUAGCCAAUCCUUCAAAGCAGGUCUCAGUUCGGAUUGCAGGCUGCAAUUCGCCUGCAUGAAGCCGGAAUCGCUAGUAAUCGUGAAUCAGCAUGUCGCGGUGAAUACGUUCCCGGGCCUUGUACACACCGCCCGU